GGUAAACAAUGCAAUUGCAUAUACCCUGUCCCCUUUAACUCUGCUCCUGUUCUCCUAACACUGAUGUUUUUGUCUUCCUAGGGUUACCUCUGUGGAAGCCAGCAAUCUUCUCCAGUUGGACGGUCGACCACUGAAAGCUCUGACGCCGUACACUUCGUUGAAGCCCAAUAGACAAAGACCAUCGACUGUCCGAGCCACCCAGGAGGUAUCCCAUCCACCAGAGCCAGUCUGAUUCUCAGAGGGGGACCGGUUUAAAGGGUUUCUGCCAAACACACAGACGUGGAUCCACCUAAUGUCCUCCAUUACCAACCACCCUCCAACUUUUCAUUACAUCUACAUCUACUGUUAUUGUCAUUACCUGCUAAGAAAGUUCUUGCUCUAUCAUACUGGGCACAUAAUAUGUGAGAUCCACAGAUGAACUAAAAACACUAGCACUGCAAACAGUCAGAGCAAAGAGAGCAGCAGUGCCUGGACUUUGCAGCCUCCCUGUUCAAAUCCCCCUUUCCGAGAAUGGCUGCCUGUUGAGAACACGUCUAGGAUUACCAUAUGCUGAGACAACACACACUCCUUACUUAUAAAUUGAAGAAGGAUGUAUCCCUGCUACAAUGUCAAGCCUUGUCAAGUCAUUGGUGAAGGAAUGGAGACGAGGUAAGGAAGCUAUUUCAGUCUACAGAACAGCCUGAAUGUCCUCGACCUUGCCUACUAAGAACCUUGCUACCUGAGGGACAACAGUGCCUAGUCACCACAGCUUAGUCUGCUGACUCACAUCUGAGGCUUGGCUUAUAUAUUAAGCUACAUACACACUAUCUUUCUCAGCUGAGAAAUCUGACCUCAUUCUACAUCCUCAAACAAAGGUUGAAUGGAAAGUGUCUGAAGAGUAGAGAGAGAUUAAUUUAUUGUAAUUAUGUGACAGGGUUGCAGUGCCAUAUUUUGAUGGCAUUGAUGAAGGUAUGUUUUAACAGAG
Molecule: long non-coding RNA, 964 nt
Organism: Salvelinus fontinalis (brook trout)
Lineage: Eukaryota; Metazoa; Chordata; Actinopteri; Salmoniformes; Salmonidae
Exons: 4
Source: RefSeq, a predicted model, not a curated record